GGUGCCAUGGCUGAGUCACACCUGCUGCAGUGGCUGCUGCUGCUGCUGCCCACGCUCUGUGGCCCAGGCACUGCUGCCUGGACCACCUCAUCCUUGGCCUGUGCCCAGGGCCCUGAGUUCUGGUGCCAAAGCCUGGAGCAAGCAUUGCAGUGCAGAGCCCUAGGGCAUUGCCUACAGGAAGUCUGGGGACAUGUGGGAGCCGAUGACCUAUGCCAAGAGUGUGAGGACAUCGUCCACAUCCUUAACAAGAGGGCCAAGGAGGCCAUUUUCCAGGACACGAUGAGGAAGUUCCUGGAGCAGGAAUGCAACGUCCUCCCCUUGAAGCUGCUCAUGCCCCAGUGCAACCAAGUGCUCGACGACUACUUCCCCCUGAUCAUCGACUACUUCCAGAACCAGAUUGUGAGGGCUGCAAGCUCACCUCCUGCCUGCCUCCUCACGCAGACCCCUGUGCCCACCCAUGGGGAGUCACGCACACAGCACC
This 481-nucleotide small RNA is filed under the name Pongo abelii (Sumatran orangutan). RNAcentral describes it as "retained intron". Lineage: Eukaryota; Metazoa; Chordata; Mammalia; Primates; Hominidae. The record is from RNAcentral.